GCUACUUGUGGAGAUCCCACCAUUGACAUGCAUGUCCCCAGUUAAGAUGACCCAGAUAAAUGCUCUGACCUGGUUACCACCUCGUGGCAAGCCCUUGGAUGCUGGUCAUCUUCAGUCACUUCUUUGGGACUACUGUAUAAAUGUCACCACCUUUGUCCUCAAUGCUGGCAGUUUUGUAAAGAAGCCAAGAUUGGAGGCUUUCUAUGCCUGGGGUGAGGCAAAUUGAUUAAUAACUGUGGGAGGAGGGUGGAGGGUGCAUAAGCCAUCUGUCAUUGCUAACCGCCUCCUGUGGACAAUAGGACCAUGAUUUCCAAGUGUCCUUCACUAACUUAAGCUGGGGGGGGAAAAAAACUAUAAAGGCUACAGAUAUAAAUCUGAAUGGCAUAUUGUACAUGUAGAAAUUUGUGGUGUUCACUUUUUAUCAGAACUAAAUCCGGAUUCUGGGGCUGGAGGACAGAUAAAGCAGAAGUUGUUAAUGGUUACGAAGCAAAGGUUUACACAGUAAACAAUGUGAAUGUGAUCACCAAAAUACGCACAGAACAUCUGACCGAGGAGGAAAAAAAGAGGUAUAAAGCGGACAGGAACCCGCUGGAAUCUUUGCUGGGAACUGUGGAACACCAAUUUGGUGCACAAGGGGACCUCACCACGGAAUGUGCUACUGCAAACAACCCCACAGCCAUCACGCCUGAUGAGUACUUCAAUGAAGAGUUUGAUCUGAAAGACAGGGACAUUGGAAGGCCGAAAGAGCUGACGAUUAGAACACAGAAGUUUAAAGCAAUGUUGUGGAUGUGUGAAGAGUUUCCCCUCUCUCUGGUGGAGCAGGUCAUUCCCAUCAUUGACCUAAUGGCUCGAACGAGUGCUCAUUUUGCAAGACUGAGAGAUUUCAUCAAAUUG
RNAcentral lists this small RNA (894 nucleotides) under Pan troglodytes (chimpanzee). Its description in RNAcentral is "retained intron". The record is from RNAcentral. Lineage: Eukaryota; Metazoa; Chordata; Mammalia; Primates; Hominidae.